Dreissena polymorpha is the source of this 2274-nucleotide RNA transcript. RefSeq lists it as uncharacterized. The transcript has 4 exons. NCBI's taxonomy places the organism in Eukaryota, Metazoa, Mollusca, Bivalvia, Myida, Dreissenidae. The record is from RefSeq and is a predicted model, not a curated record.
AUAAACAUCAAAACCUACUUAAGUAGACUUUGUGUUACCAGUCCAGUGCGUUUAUUGAUAUUUUGCUGUACUAACACAUGUGUAUUUAAACAGACGAUGAUUUAAAUACAUGUACUAGGUAUAUGAGAUAAUGAUUUUUUGAAUUCAAAGGGAAAUAAAUACUAGUUGGAAUUAAAAAACAAUCAUGAUGCGUUGGACUUGAAGGGGAAAUAUUGACACAUUCGAAAUCAAAAGGGGCUAAUUACUGUUUAGAAUUCAAAGGAAGACAAGGAUUAUAACGAAUUCAAAGCGAAAUUAUGUAUGGCUAAUUCCGUUACCGACAAUAUCUACGGUUCGUUAACAAUGCUUUGAUAGAUAUGACAUAAUACUAUUUCGCCCAAAUGUACACCGCGGUAAGAUUCAUUAUUGCAUGGAAGACAACUUUGAUAAGGAGGUCGUUUAUCGUUUUCAUCCGUAUCAAAGCACACAACCGAAUUGUAAUAAUGGUCAUCGGAAUAGAAACCUACUUUGAGGCCCAGUUCGUCGGUCGAACAGAUGAACGUCGCGAUUUGCAAGCUGUCUGAAAAAAACAACAAAGAAUGUUCGGAAUUUUCGGGAUGCGAUCUGUUGGUACAUAAAGGCUAGCGAAGGAGUUUUUGGAUAGUGCAUCGGGCCAAUAUGAUGAAUUAGUCUACGUUAACUUGAAGGAGACCAGCGACCUAGCCGCAAUGUACGUCAAUAUAUGCGCCCAGUUGACUGUUUUUGUUGAAUCUCAUCCAAACGAUGUCAAGUCGUGGGAAAGCAUGCUUGUCUGUGCUGUUUCCACUAGAAAAACGCAAUACGUAUUCUUUUUUGACAAUGGCGAAUACUUUAUUGACAAUGAAGCCGAAACUCGCGAACCCCUACAAAAUGUGUUUGUGGCUCUUUUGAAACAGAACAAUAUAAAAGUUAUUUUGACUUCUACAACGAAGUUUCAGCUGGAAAGUUUGCAGCGUAUCUACCACGUGUGUGAGCUGCAACCGCUAAAGCCGACAGAGACGACGGAGUUACUAACAGCCGAAGCGCCGGAGAUGGACUAUGACGAAAACUGGGACCCUAUUGUCGAACUUAGUGAAGGGUUGACGCUUCUGAUUCUCAUGAUAACGUCCGAGCUUCGGGAUGAAGGAGGCAUGUUGACGCCGAAGGACAUGGCGCAACUGCUAGCGGAAUACAGACUGAAGGUCCUUAGUCGAGAGUUUUAUCCGGGGAAAGACAGAGUUGCUGACGUUUACCGGCUGUUCAUCGAUCGCCUGAGCCCCGUGCUGGAGAGACGGUUCUCAGAAUUGGAUUAUAUCCCAGGCUCGUUUACAGCAGAAGAGGCCAGAUCGCUCCUCGCAGGAAAGCUUGGCUUUAAAUAAUAAAGGGUUAAACUAUUCAAAUGUCGCGAUGGCGUGGUGUACAAGUGUUCACCUAGAGAUCUUGAGCUCCAUCGUUCGACCCCCACUGUGAUGGAGUUUGCAAGAUUUUAAGGUCUGAAGACACUAAGUAAUGGUUUUUCAACGGACUGGAGUUUGUCUCAACAAACCUUAUUAAAAGUCUCAAACCUUUCCAAGAAGCCGCAAGCGUUUCUGCCAAACGUUCAACGAGGUAAUGACGAGCAUAUCUCGACGUUAUACGUCACAGGAGUAUGCGAGCGCCUUGGCGGACUUUGCGUUUGAGCAGCCGAACCUGCAGAAGCUGUUGCUGGAGAUACAGUACACGACACAGGACACUUACACGUUCUUUAUACGGAUGGCAACUGAGUCCACACAGUUUAUUGAGCAAUAUCUCGCAGGAAACUCGGAGGAUUUCUACAGUCAAUGUCAUCGUGCAGCAGACCGAUACGGAAAGAAAUGGACAAAGUUGCUGUAGAUCUGGCAGUGGGACACCUGUAUACUUAUGUUAAAAUACUUUAAAUAUAUGGAAUGAUGUAUGAAAUACAUGUACCUAGAUAACAAUAGCUAGACUAGAAUCAUGUUAACUAAUUUAUGUUCACUUAUAUAUACACUAAUUAAUGUGUAAUAUAUGGUAGCUGUAAGUCUGCUGAAUUGUUCGUGAACAUUUAUAUCAACAUUAUUUGUGUGUGUUUGUGGUACAAUAUAUUCAACAUAUAUUCAUGUCCCAUUUAAGUGUCGCAUGAAUAGAUAUCGUUGCGGGAAAUUAAAGUGGAUUAUAAUUUGCCACACACAAAUAGAAAAGAGCAUUUUAUUUUAUAGCGAUAUUUUGUCUGUUUACUCUAAAUGUCAACUUAACUUUAUAAAUCAGAUACUGAUCCUG